This 253-nucleotide ribosomal RNA is filed under the name uncultured bacterium. RNAcentral's name for it is "partial 16S ribosomal RNA". It matches the Rfam family "Bacterial small subunit ribosomal RNA", at positions 524 to 776 of the family's 1533-position model. The record is from RNAcentral.
AACGUAGGUACCGAGCGUUAUCCGGAUUUACUGGGCGUAAAGCGUGUUCAGGCGGCCUGGCAAGUCGGGCAUGAAAUCUCUCGGCUCAACCGGGAGAGGCUGUCCGAUACUGCUGGGCUUGAGGACGGUAGAGGGUGGUGGAAUUCCGCGUGUAGUGGUGAAAUGCGUAGAUAUCGUGAGGAACACCAGAGGCGAAGGCGGCUACCUGGACAAUUGCUGACGCUCAGGCACGAAAGCGUGGGGAGCAAAAGGG